AAGCACAACGGGCAGCGACUGCACGCUGAGAAGGAUGGAGUCCAGUUUCUCUUCCAGAGCUGCGAUCCUCCUGUCCAGCUCCUCGCUGCGAUGCUGCAGCUCCAACACCAGAUCAUACAUCAUGUUCUGAGUCUGGAAACCAACAGGGGAGCACAGUUCAUACAUCUGACUUUACAGCAUGUUGUGGUGCAUUUGAAGAGACAGCAGGGCAAACCCCCUUCCCACAGUAGGUGUGAGGGACCAUGUCGCCGUAGCCGAUGGACAGGAAGGUGAUGGAGAUCAGCCACAUUGCUCCAAGGAAGGAAGAAAAGGAAGAGUGAGAGAUUCAAAAGUUUUGAGUUAAUACCUCUCACAUACGCGCACAGUCCACGCUGCGAUGAUCCAGCAGGACACGCUGAAGACCAGCAGGACCGUGCCGG
Molecule: long non-coding RNA, 419 nt
Organism: Epinephelus moara (kelp grouper)
Lineage: Eukaryota; Metazoa; Chordata; Actinopteri; Perciformes; Serranidae
Exons: 3
Source: RefSeq, a predicted model, not a curated record